UCACUUACCUGGACGGGGUCAAUGGGUGAUCAAGAAGGUCCAUGGCCUAGGUUGGUGACCUCCAUUGCACUUCGGAGGGGUGCCCGCCUAAGGUCGGCCCAAGCGGUCGAGCCUACGUCAUAAUUUGUGGCAGUGGGGGCUUGCGUUCGCGCAGCCCCUGC
RNAcentral lists this small nuclear RNA (161 nucleotides) under Helianthus annuus (common sunflower). RNAcentral's name for it is "sRNA HanXRQr2_Chr08g0321131". It matches the Rfam family "U1 spliceosomal RNA". Rfam says of the family: U1 is a small nuclear RNA (snRNA) component of the spliceosome (involved in pre-mRNA splicing). Its 5' end forms complementary base pairs with the 5' splice junction, thus defining the 5' donor site of an intron. There are significant differences in sequence and secondary structure between metazoan and yeast U1 snRNAs, the latter being much longer (568 nucleotides as compared to 164 nucleotides in human). The record is from Rfam by way of RNAcentral. Lineage: Eukaryota; Viridiplantae; Streptophyta; Magnoliopsida; Asterales; Asteraceae.